Long non-coding RNA from Musa acuminata AAA Group (dessert banana), 4685 nucleotides. RefSeq lists it as uncharacterized. The record is from RefSeq and is a predicted model, not a curated record. Lineage: Eukaryota; Viridiplantae; Streptophyta; Magnoliopsida; Zingiberales; Musaceae. The transcript has 3 exons.
UUUUCGGCUUAUGGUGGACCUCGACGCGGCCUUUUGUCGUGAUCGUCUCAUCUUCCCCGUUAGCGGGUGCUCAUUUGCUUUUAAUCGGAGGUUCUCUGUGUGUUAGGAGCACUUCUUUUCGAUCACGGUGAAGAGCAUGGAUGGCAGCUUCCUGUUCACACCCCUUCAGGUUAUGUUCAGUCGUUGCGCAAAGACAAAACUAUCCAGAAACAAAUCAUCCAAGCAACCAUUUUGGGGGGUUUUCUAGCUCCGUAGAGUGGUGCGGUGCGGAGUGUCAGCCAACACAGUAUGCAGGAGCUAGCGGGGUGGCACAUGGUUGGAUGAGCCUUUAGGUCCUGAAGGAACCAUAAAAGGUUUCAGGGAGGCUAACCCUUUGUGGACGGACACACAAUGGUGCCACACGAUUUAGGCACAACCAGCUAAGUUUGUGACGGAUGGUAUUAGAGUGGGAGAAAGAAGCACACUUAAAAACACUUGGUAUGCAAACGUAAGAGACCUAACAAAGCUACAUUGGGGGUAGCUAGCAUGAAGAACGCAUAGCACACAAAGAUUAGGAUAGUUGAGUUUAAGCUACGAAUCGACGUUAGUAACUAAACUUGAUGGUGCUUAAGGCAAGCAGGACAUUUGGCAAAGGAUGAGAUAGUGCAAGGAGGGAUGGGUUACUUGGCAACCGAAAGAGUUGUACAAAGCUCAUAGAGGUAAAGAGGAAUUGUUAACUCAAAGAAUUCGGUACUCAUGCGAGAGCUUGUAUGCGAACAACGGACUGUCCGUGACCAUCACAAGGCGAUCAAAAUUUGGUGCCAUGAAGCAUGAAAACUCUCUUCAGCAUGGGAAGGAUACAUUCAUAUGAGGCUGAAGUAUAUGGUAGGUUUAACUUGUUGCUAGGCUUUGAGGGGCACAAUAGGGGCUGUAUUGACGAAGAGUCGUAAUCUAGCAAGUACGUUUAUGGUGGAGAAAUAGCACACAGUUUGUUCAGUAAGGCAGAGUAGUCUAAGGGGAUGGUGGUCUUCAAAACUUUAGAGAGAAUGAUGCAAAGAGAAAAGUUACUCCAACGGGAUAGAUAUCUAGGUGGGAUAAGUCUUGUUCUUCCGAAAGAGAAUCAUGUGCAGCGAACCGCACAUGUUGUGGGGGUACCUUAAGACGACAACUCUAUAAAGCUUAAUGGAUUGAGCAAGCAGUGAUGAGUCAUUGCAUGAUCUCGCAUAAGGUAAUGCAUUGGUGGACGUAUUACGAGAUUAAGUAGGGGAGCAGCCUUAGAGAACACCAAACGAAGGCACAUUUAAAGCCGAUAUAAAGAUUAGACUCAAUGGAGGGUUGACCUGUCAUAUAGUGGGCGCGAGGGCCACCAUUAACUCAAUGCAUACUAAGGAGCAAAGCCACAUGAAGGGAGUCGACAUAGAAGAUAAAACAUAGAGUGGAGGCGCAGAGCUUUUCUUGGAUAGAAGCCAAGGACAUGAACUCUUGUAGAGGCAAGAGCGAGAUUAUGUCAUUCCAUGGGUCCCUCAUUCUGAUGGAGCAGACUCAUCUUGUAUGGUGCCAAUGUCAGAGGGAGCUUCGAGGCACACACACUUUAUCUUGAUGAAACAAUUGAUGGAGGAACUAAGACAACUCAACUUGCGGAGGCGAAGUUGAGGUUAGAAGGGCUUGUCAUGAUGUAAGAGGAUGCAGAGAUAGGUACUCAUGAAGAAUAUGUCACAGUGUUGCCAUUUGAGUUGCCGUAAAGGAAAUUAUGCAUAGUGAAGAUUGUGCUAGGGGCAGAGGUCGAGGAUCCAGAUAAUGACAUACCAAUUUCAGCAAAGUCGAUGGACUUCGAGAGCUACUAGGCAACAAACUAUCCUAGAGUUGUGCUUCGUCCAUGUAUAACUCGAGAGCGGGUAGAUAAAGGUCGAUUGCCAAAGGAGCGAAUACAAUCGGAGGUGGCGAAAGCCCUGCGAUUGCUGGCAAAGGCCAUAUCUAGAGAGAUCGUAGUCCGAAUUUAUCCCACAAAGAUCAAAAUGCAAUAGAGAUAUUACCAGGAGGCGACAUAGUCCAACGGAUUGUGGUAAAACAAUUCAAGACAGUGUGACACGCACAUGGGAGAAGUCCCGUGAGGGACUUGAUCAUACAGAGGUAUAUCAGAGCGGCUAGAGAGUUAGACUGUUCUAGAGCUUAUAUUCACUUGAGGGAGACCAACAAGUUAGAAGACAAGCUCGAGUGAGUGAACGUCGCUACCAAGGACACAAAGAAGAUUAUAAUCAGUGCAAGCCCUGCAACAUGAUGAUAGAGGCUAUGUAUGAGAGUUAUAGUCUUUCUUUCUAUCAACCAAGGGAAACUACUUGGAGAACACAAAGGUGUUAAAGUAGGAGGUCGAAAGGGGCAAGAAAGCAAUGAUGAGUCUAGAGGGACUUAGCUACCUAAAACCAAGAAUUGAUUUGGAUGGAGGUAGACUCAGAGGAGUGUCAUAGUGCCGUAGAGGUGAACCUAAUGAUCGUAAAGAAAGGACGCAGAUAUGAGGCGAUAGAUAAUAGGGCCAUGGGUAUGGUAGUACCCUGGUACCAUAGAGGCAAAACUUCCAUAGCAUCAGCGAUCCCUUGCUCUCAUGGAGGGAGAGUGCAUGGUCGUAAAAGGAGACCGAAGAGGUGGAGAAUGCAAAGGUAAAUUAUAAGUAUCUAGAUAAUGUUAAAGGGUAGAGGCUAGGGAAUUUCGUAAGACUGAUGUCUAUAGGUUUGUCAUCAAGAUAGCCAAAAGUGGAGGACUUUUGGUCGAUGUAGAAGUGCUCAACCAAAGAACGGAGUAGGUAGUAUGAAGUGCUAUACCUUUUCUACUCAGAGGAGUAGGCGACAAAAAUGAUAGAGAAGAUAGUAUAAUCAUAGAGGCGGCUAAAAUUAUUAGAUAUUUGUUCCAAGUCAACAAAAUUUUGUUCUUUUCGGGCAAAACUUUUUGCAUUUCAUAAGUUCGAUAACAAUGAUGAGGCGAAUCGCAAUAGCUAACUCAAUGCAAGGAGUGUAAACACUUCGGGUGCUUCAGAAGUGUGAGCAAAGAGUAGACAAAUGCUAGUAAUCAACUUGAUGCAUGAAGUACAACUCUCGAGGAGGUGAGCGAAGUCAAAGAACCUUUGCCUUCUUAACUCUUAAGAGAAUGGGUAAAAUUGAAUACCUCAGUUCUCUUAUUUAUCCAAUAGAGGAGUUCUACACAUAUUCAAAGAUCCUUCCAAGAAACUUAGUGGGAAAUAAUAAUUGUUAAAUCUUCACCAAUUGUGAUCAAUUCUACUGAGAGUAGAUUGGCUAUCUCAUUUUCCAACAUAGUGUCAAUUAAAAGUGGAAGUAAUGUAAACCUAUUUGGAGGUGACAACUAAGUAAAAGUGGAAUCGAUGGGUAAAUUUUACGAAGGAAAGACCUUAAAAACUUCAAAAUCUACAAGGUGAUGUUUGUUAAGGCUCAAAUAGGUAUCCACCCAAUUUAAGCAAAACGACGUUUGAGAGACUAGUGCAAAAUAAAGAAGAUAUUUUUCUUCAUUCGAAGGAUUCACAGGAACCAAGAUUGAUUAAGAUAAUUCGAUCGACCCUACACUAUAGUCAAAGUAAUUGGCAAGUUGAAACAACAUUGACGGAUCAAAGUUCGAUUACUAACAAUAGCGAUGGAGAGUAGUUGUGAGUCAAGAGGUACAUUGCAACUAGAGUAAAAGAUUGAAGAUUCAACAAAGGUGAGGAGAUGCAACGUUCGUAAAGGCUUCGACGAAGACGUCGAAAGAAUAAGUGGGGGAGAAUGUCAUGGACAGAUACGUAAAUAGGGUGUUCGAUGUAAUGUUUGUGUAUGUUUGUGUCUUUCAGUUUUGUUCAUAUUUUGCACAACAUAUAGAAGGCUUGCAGUAGGCUUGGUAGCCCUAUUUUGGUUAGCUUUUAUGGUCAUUUCAAUCUUGUAAACAUAGGUUGUGUGUAGUCGUUGUGCAGAGGUAAAACUGUCUAAAAAUAGGCUAUCCAGGCAACCAUUUCUAGGGUUCUCUAGCUCCGUAGGGUAGUGUAGAGUAUCAGCCACUCAAGAGCUACUCGGGUGGCAUAUGGCUAGAUGGGCGUUUAGGGUAGUGUCUAGGGUUGGUUCGUUUGUCUUGUUCCAUAGUAGUGUCAUGUGAGCACUUAUGGAGACUUUUAACUAUGAUGGAUCACCUUAAACCCUUUGUUACGUAAUUAUUCAGAGCUUGCAAAGUCUAUGUUUGUAAUUUACAUUGACUAUCAAGUGUUUAUUAAAAUGACUACUUGUUGGAUUCCGAGUUAAACGCUUCCUCUAAUUGUCUUCUUUUUUGCAGGUCCUUAGGCGACUGUAAGAGGUUUUAGGGAGGCUAACUAUUUGCAGACGAACACGCAAUGGUGCCACAUGACUUAGGCAAAAUCAACUAAAUCUAUGAUAGUCUGUAGCUUUGUCUACCGCUAUCGUCCUCUCCUACCUCACGUUCAACCAUUUGUGACUCCUUUUCUCCCCCUCUACUAUUAUGGUUACUAUUAAUAAUGGAUUAAAUACUAUUAACAAUUGAAUGUUAAUCCUAAACUAAUAUUAAAACUACUAUUAUCAUAUAAUAAACUAAAAUUGAUAUUAACCCUUAGAACUAUUGGCCUAUUUCGAACUAAUUCUUAAUUAGAAUUGUUAUUAGUCUCUAUUUAGCAAUGUUAAUCUCUAUUUAUUUAGAAUUUUAUCAGGGUUUCAGGAUUAAUG